Molecule: ribosomal RNA, 428 nt
Filed under: uncultured bacterium
Lineage: Bacteria
Description: bacterial SSU rRNA
Rfam family: Bacterial small subunit ribosomal RNA
Source: RNAcentral
GAUGAACGCUGGCGGCGUGCUUAACACAUGCAAGUCGAACGGAAGUAGCAAUACUUCAGUGGCGCACGGGUGAGGAACACGUAGCUCAUCUGCCCUCAAGUGUGGGAUAACGCUCCGAAAGGAGUGCUAAUACCGCAUAAGCUCCCGGAUUGCAGAGGUCUGGGAGAAAAGGAGUAAUUCGCUUGAGGAGGAGGCUGCGGCCCAUCAGGUAGUUGGGCGGUAACGGCGCACCAAGCCGACGACGGGUAGGGGACCUGAGAGGGUGACCCCCCACACUGGGACUGAGACACGGCCCAGACUCCUACGGGAGGCAGCAGUGAGGAAUAUUGCCCAAUGGACGCAAGUCUGAGGCAGCGACGCCGCGUGGGUGAUGAAGGCUUUCGGGUCGUAAAGUCCCUUUUCUGUGUGACGAGCGAAAGGACGGUAGC